AACGAACGCUGGCGGCAUGCCUAACACAUGCAAGUCGAACGAGGCCUUCGGGUCUAGUGGCGCACGGGUGCGUAACGCGUGGGAACCUGCCCUUAGGUUCGGAAUAACUCCCCGAAAGGGGUGCUAAUACCGGAUAAUGUCUUCGGACCAAAGAAUUAUCGCCUUUGGAUGGGCCCGCGUUGGAUUAGCUAGUUGGUAGGGUAAAAGCCUACCAAGGCGACGAUCCAUAGCUGGUCUGAGAGGAUGAUCAGCCACACUGGGACUGAGACACGGCCCAGACUCCUACGGGAGGCAGCAGUGGGGAAUAUUGGACAAUGGGCGAAAGCCUGAUCCAGCAAUGCCGCGUGAGUGAUGAAGGCCUUAGGGUUGUAAAGCUCUUUUACCCGGGAUGAUAAUGACAGUACCGGGAGAAUAAGCUCCGGCUAACUCCGUG
RNAcentral lists this ribosomal RNA (433 nucleotides) under uncultured bacterium. Its description in RNAcentral is "partial 16S ribosomal RNA". It matches the Rfam family "Bacterial small subunit ribosomal RNA", at positions 29 to 507 of the family's 1533-position model. The record is from RNAcentral.